This 73-nucleotide transfer RNA is filed under the name Candidatus Delongbacteria bacterium. RNAcentral's name for it is "tRNA-Asn". It matches the Rfam family "tRNA". From Rfam's summary of the family: Transfer RNA (tRNA) molecules are approximately 80 nucleotides in length. Their secondary structure includes four short double-helical elements and three loops (D, anti-codon, and T loops). Lineage: Bacteria; Candidatus Delongiibacteriota. The record is from RNAcentral.
UCCGAAAUAGCUCAGUCGGUAGAGCAGUUGGCUGUUAACCAAUUUGUCGGGGGUUCAAGUCCCUCUUUCGGAG